CGACGCUUCGGCUUGGCGAUUUCGGUCUUGGUCGCUUCCCGUGUGGCCGCAUGCGGCGGCCGGCUAACGUGCGAGGCGAUGCGCGCCGA
Molecule: transfer RNA, 89 nt
Filed under: Bradyrhizobium liaoningense
Lineage: Bacteria; Pseudomonadati; Pseudomonadota; Alphaproteobacteria; Hyphomicrobiales; Nitrobacteraceae
Description: tRNA-Gly
Source: RNAcentral